RNAcentral lists this ribosomal RNA (723 nucleotides) under uncultured bacterium. RNAcentral's name for it is "bacterial SSU rRNA". It matches the Rfam family "Bacterial small subunit ribosomal RNA", at positions 9 to 778 of the family's 1533-position model. The record is from RNAcentral.
GAGUUUGAUCCUGGCUCAGAACGUACGCUGGCGGCACGCCUAACACAUGCAAGUCGAACGCAGUAGCAAUACUGAGUGGCAGACGGGUGAGUAACAUGUGGGAAUCUGCCUUGUGGUUCAGGACAACAUUGGGAAACCGAUGCUAAUACUGGAUAAGCCCUUGCGGGGAAAGUUUUAAUGCCACAAGAUGAGCCCGCAUUUGGUUAGUUAGUUGGUGAGGUAAUGGCUCACCAAGACAAUGAUCAAUAGCUGAUCUGAGAGGAUGAUCAGCCACACUGGGACUGAGACACGGCCCAGACUCCUACGGGAGGCAGCAGUGGGGAAUCUUGCACAAUGGAGGAAACUCUGAUGCAGCGAUGCCGCGUGAGUGAAGAAGGCCUUUGGGUUGUAAAGCUCUUUUGUAGGGGUAGAUAAUGACUGUACCCUAAGAAUAAGGUCCGGCUAACUUCGUGCCAGCAGCCGCGGUAAUACGAAGGGACCUAGCGUAGUUCGGAAUUACUGGGCGUAAAGCGCGCGUAGGCCGUUGAGUUAGUUAAUUGUGAAAUCCCAAAGCUUAACUUUGGAACUGCAAUUAAAACUGCUCGACUAGAGUUUGAUAGAGGAAAGCGGAAUACAUAGUGUAGAGGUGAAAUUCGUAGAUAUUAUGUAGAACACCAGUUGCGAAGGCGGCUUUCUGGAUCAACACUGACGCUGAGGCGCGAAAGUAUGGGUAGCAAAGAGGAU